This 491-nucleotide ribosomal RNA is filed under the name uncultured bacterium. Its description in RNAcentral is "bacterial SSU rRNA". It matches the Rfam family "Bacterial small subunit ribosomal RNA", at positions 12 to 509 of the family's 1533-position model. The record is from RNAcentral.
UUUGAUCCUGGCGUCAGGACGAACGCUGGCGGCGUUGCUUAACACAUGCAAGUCGAACGAGGAUCAGGGAGAGCUUGCUUGAACUGAUUCGAGUGGCGGACGGGUGAGUAACGCGUGAGCAACCUGUCUCACACAGGGGAAUAACGCAUCGAAAGAUGUGCUAAUACCGCAUAGGACCACGGAAGGACAUCCUUCUGAGGUGAAAGGAGCAAUCCGGUGUGAGGUGGGCUCGCGUCUGAUUAGAUAGUUGGUGAGGUAAACGGCCCACCAAGUCAACGAUCAGUAGCCGACCUGAGAGGGUGAUCGGCCACAUUGGGACUGAGACACGGCCCAGACUCCUACGGGAGGCAGCAGUGGGGAAUAUUGGGCAAUGGGCGCAAGCCUGACCCAGCAACGCCGCGUGAAGGAAGAAGGUUUCGGAUCGUAAACUUCUGUCCUUGGUGAAGAGUAGCAGACGGUAGCCAAGGAGGAAGCCCGGCUAACUACGUGCC